Long non-coding RNA from Astatotilapia calliptera (eastern happy), 2824 nucleotides. NCBI's taxonomy places the organism in Eukaryota, Metazoa, Chordata, Actinopteri, Cichliformes, Cichlidae. The record is from Ensembl.
ACAUGUUAUAUUUGUUCCUAUCUGUGUGUGUAUAUUCUUUUCUUUGUGUACCUAGCCCCACAGGUGUGCAAUAAACCCAGAGAAAUCCCAGAAACGGUGUUGAACCCAGCACCUUCAACGUCUGGUGACACUGGUAAAAUUUCUUAUUUUGAAUAGUGAUUGACAUAUGUACGUGAAAUAAUAAUCUUGCAUUCAUUAUCUUGUUGUAGUUGAUGGCUCAUAAAAGAAUUUCUUACAUGCUGUUUCAAAUGAAUUUCCUUCUAUAGAUAGUGCUUAUUUUUCUUGCAUUUAAUAUGCAUUCUAUGUAGUGUUUUGUCUGAAACCUGUUAAAAUCCCUAUAGAACCUCAGAAAAGAGUUGACAACAAGAAAGCCAAUCGAAGGUCAACAGAUGCAACUUUUCCUGACCCGUGUGGACCACCGUGCGAAGCUCUGACAAAGCCUGAGAACAUUUUGGCCAGCCGUUCAUCAUGGUGUUUUGUACCGCACCCUGGCCAACAACAGCUUCUCAACUAUGUUCUGGACAUCAGCAGACCCAAAGAUGAGCUGAUUGUUGAAACGUCUUCUGGAUGCCUCACGCGGUCAGAUUUUUGGACACUGGGUUUAAACAAAGAAAUGGAAUCGACUAUUGGAAAUGGCUGUUUUGAGCUUAUCACUAAAAUUGUUCAGUCAAAGGUACUGUAUGUUGUAUAUGAUGAUUGUCAAGCUUUAAUUUAAAGAGCUGUUGUUUUAAAUGUUUUUUUGUUUUUUUUUUUUACAUUCUAGGGGAUAAGCAUUUACAUCGAAAAUCUGUAUGUCACCCGGACUUGGCUUGCACCCUAUGGCUGUGAUCCAUUGCGGUCCUUUCCUACUGAUGCUCAGAGGAUGGACAUCAUAGUUCUCCCUCUCUGGACACCUGGUCAUUUCCAGUUGUGUGUAAGUCUUGUUUUUUGACACGUACAAACUGUUAGAAUUUUGCUAUGUGUCUGAGAUGUAUUCAAGCUUUUAUGACGCAGUUUCAAAAGUCUUUGACUGUGAUCGCUUGCAAUGACAUUGUUUUCAGGUUUGAAGUCAUGGCUAACUGUCUUUUAGGUACUGAAGCCACCUAAAAGAGAAAUCCUCUUUCUUGACCCAUUAUACACCAAGGCAGGAUUUGGUGGCCAACAAUAUGUUUCACUUUUGAGGUCACAUUUUUAUAAGCAUUUUUGGUUUGUUCCGGAGUUUUCAGGAACCUGUUCAGUGUUCCAGGUUAAGUGCAUCCCAGAUCAUGUUCUGCUGAUCUUGAGUGUUCACACAUACAGUACACUCACAUGCUUUUUCUAUAAACUAUAUCAGCAAGUUUCUGUGUGGAGUUUGCAUGUUCUCCCCAUGUUUGCGUGAGUUCCCUCCGGGUACUCCGGCUUCCUCCCACCGUCUAAAGACAUGCAGCUUGUGGGGAUAGGUUAAUUGGAUAAUCCAAAUUGCCACUAGGUGUGAAUGUGGGAGUGAAUGUGAGUGUGAAUGGUUGUCUGUCCCUGUGUGUUAGCCCUGCGACAGACUGGCGACCUGUCCAGUCUGUCGCCCUAUGACAGCUGGGAUAGGCUCCAGCGCCCCCCGUGACCCUGAAAAGGAUAAGCGGAAGCGAAUGGAUGGAUGGAUGGAUGGAUGGAUGGAUAUAUCAGCAUGAUGCUUCAACAUUUUAUUCUCAUCUUCAAAUUAUGAUCAAGUCAGUGAUACUGUCUGUAGAUGAGUUUCAGACAUAAAUUGGGUCUUCCAGUGUUCUAUUUUAACAUAAAACACCAUUAAAAAUUAUUUUAUAAAAUAUGCCAACAUUAACUUAAAGCUGUAAAUGCUUUAUUUUGACCAACUGUGAGCAUGUGACUGUACUUUUUCAUUUUGUUAUGCUGUUUUUUUGAGGUCGUGUUCCUAAGGCCUGUAGUUACAGUUGGUGCUAUUAGCAAUAAACAUUUCACACCCAUCAUGAUCAUCAUCUGUUAACUUGUGAAUGUAACUGUUUUUUUUAAAAAAAAAAGGAAUCUUGCAGUGAAGAUCAUUCCCGGGCAGUGGUCAGAAAAAAAGAGCUGUGACUUGAAGGGUUUUCCAAGCCAAGACUAUGGAGUUGACUGUGGGAUCUUCAUGCUGAUGUCUGCUCUGUACGUGGCACUGGAUGCUUCAUUUGACUAUACUAUAUCAGACAUGCCCUACUUGCGUAAAUGGUGGUGCUUGCUGUUGAUGGAGAACUUUGAUCUCAGGAGCUCUGGCAAGCUAUUUGCACACUGGAGAGAGGAAGCCAAAGCUGUGCUUGAAGGACAACACGUGCCCAUUUUCAGAGUGAAAAAGCGCAAGUUACAGGAAGUCAGUCAGGAGCCAGCAGUUGUUGCAGAUCUGCGUCCUGCUGUGCAGUGGGUUGUCCAAAAUAAGGCACUUUUCCGUGGACACGUAACAAUGCCCAAAUAUGUGUCCUUAAAUCAAGGAGACCAGCAGAGGGUCUUAAGAGACAUGUCAGAGGAAGAAGACACUGGAGCAAGGGACUUGUUCCUCUUUGUUUUUCAGUUUGCAGAGGACAUGGAGCUCUUUUUGAAUGCAUGUGCUGAUGAGCAGGGGCUAAGGGUCAGUGCUAUGUUUGACAUGUGAUGGACAAAUGAAGGCACUGGCUGUGUUUGUUUGUUUGUUUAAUAUGUUGUUGUUGUUGUUGUUUUUGCGUAGUACAAAAUUCCUAUUAAACUUAUUUCAAAAUGUUGUUCACUUGAUUCUGUGUCCAUACUUAUAAUAAAGGAUUACAGUGUAACAGCAUUAAAUGUAAAAGCAUUUUUUUUAAACUUGUAAUUUCAAAAUAAAAAGCUUAUUGUUGAUAUUAACAGUAAAUAA